UGCAGUCAAACCACAUCAGCUCCCAUUUUGCAAGUGAGGAAAUCAAGACUCAGAGGGGUGAGGUUGCUUGCUUGGGAUUGCACGGAUCAGUCGGUGGUAGAGUUACGAUCCAAAUCCAGGCUUUAGUUGCCUGCUUCCAGUUCUUUCCACGUGGCUCUAGGAACCAGCAUUAACAGCCUGAGGCCGUGGAGCAUGGUAGGGACUCAGGAGCCAGACUGCCAUCUGCAAAAUCCGUCUCUGUGUGAAGGACCACUCUUUUGGAGGAAGCUGGCAGCCAUUUCAUGAGGAGACUCAAGCAGCCUAGGAGAGGUGGCAGUGGUGAAGAACUGAGGCUUCCUGCUGUCAGCUAGUGAGGAACUGAGGCCUCUUCACACACGGAUGUGAGUGAACUACCCAGGAGAUGUGUCCUCCAGCCCCAGGCCUUCAGAGGACCGCAGCUCUCGUCAAAAGCUUAAUGCAACCUCCUGAGAGUCCCUGAACUACAGCCAUCCUGCUAAGCUACUCCCAAAUGCCUGACCCCCAGAAACUGUAAUCAGAAAGUAAACCAAAACCAAGACCCAUCCACAUGGCCGUGAACCACCCC
This 583-nucleotide long non-coding RNA is filed under the name Homo sapiens (human). RNAcentral describes it as "HSALNT0290390". The record is from RNAcentral. Lineage: Eukaryota; Metazoa; Chordata; Mammalia; Primates; Hominidae.